Papaver somniferum (opium poppy) is the source of this 2206-nucleotide long non-coding RNA. RefSeq lists it as uncharacterized. The transcript has 5 exons. The record is from RefSeq and is a predicted model, not a curated record. Lineage: Eukaryota; Viridiplantae; Streptophyta; Magnoliopsida; Ranunculales; Papaveraceae.
UCCGAAGCACUUCACAAGCCAAAAUUCUACUCAAAAUAAAAACUAACCAUUUUCUUCUUCUUCUUCUUCUCUCCCAUCCAUCUUCUAUAUCACGAACAGAUCCUUAUGAACCAAAAUCAUUUUCUUCUUCAUCUCUCUAAUCCAUCUGCUAUCUCACAUAAACCAACAGAUCUUCAUGAACCAAAACAAUUAACAGAUCUCCAAUCCAUCUACUCCAUCUAUUUCAUGAUUCUUAUUCUGCUUUGAUAUUAUCCAGAUCCGUAAAUUUCUCAGAUAGAAAAAGCGAUAAGUUUGAUUCAUACUGCUUAAUGAGAUUUACAGUUUUAUUGUUUGUUUUUUUUUCUUAAGAAACGAUUUUUGUGAAAUAAUCUGUUCUUCGAUUAAUUUUUGGGGUUUUGGGUUUUGUUUACAGAUUUGUGCUGAUAGUGGAAGAUAAAUCAAAUAUUGCUAGGCUUUUUUCAUAAACUCAGAUUUCUUACAGGGGUUUUGUUUAAUAGUAAUUUCUAUUGAGUUUUUGUUUUCCAUCAACCUGGAGGAGUCAACUUCAUCUAACUAUGCUUGGCAAGACACACUAAAAUUUCAAUUUUGUACUUCACAGAGGUUUUCGUUGAAUUUGAUUUUAUUUUGAGUGUUUUUGUUUGAAUAUUACUUAUGGGUUUUGUUUAUUAUCAUGUUUUAGGGUCUGGUAUCUUGUUUAUUUGACUUAAUUUUUCUUUUUCCUCAGAUUUCUUUCAUUACUACUUCGAUGGUUUUUGCCAAAAGAAAGAGAAACAGUAUUGCUCUUCUUCUGUUUGAUAAAAUGUCUCAAUGAGCCAAUUGUCAUGUCCCUUAAAUUUGAUUUUAGUUUCUUUUAAAAAAGGUUUUGAUCAGUUGGUUUUGUUUAUUUAAGGUUUUUGAGUAAUUGGUCUUCAUAUCAAUGGUUCGUAUCUGCCAUUCUUGAUGCAUUUUUUUCUCAUGCAUAGUUCAAUGGUGCUAGCCCUCAUUUUACUGUUGUGAAUCCUUGUGCUCAAGACUUACAGGUGAAAAUUAAGCAAAAAAAAGACUUACAGGUGAAGAAGCUAUCGGAGGAGGUAAAUAAGAUCGGAUGGGUUGUUGUUAAAUUCAACUUCACAGGUGAAGAAGCUAUUGGAGGAGGUAAAUAUGACCAUGGAAAACACAUCUCCCUACACCAACACAACUGCACACCAUGUGUUCGAUAAGUUUCCUGAAAGAACAAAAAAGAGGUUAAGUGUUCUUAUAGCUUUCCUAACCUUAGUAGCCAGGUACGGGAACGAUAUCGGGAGCGAGGGCGGAAGCGAGUUGGGAGCGUGAAUUAUAUUUUUUCAGAAAUAUUAGUUAUAUUACCAAUUUUCCAAUAUUGUAAUCAAGAAAUAAGACAAGUACAUAAAUAUUUAGAAAAUGUGACUUAAGUGCAGGAAUAUAUCUCAUUCAUUGACCUCUUUUGCUUCUUGUGUUUGUUACGAGCACUCUGAACUCUCUGAACUCGCAUUUGUGCUAGUGUUUCUUGUUCUUGUGAACUUGGAGGUGUAGGGGAGGAUGGAGGGGUAACAUCAGGUGUUUGUGUUGUAAAGUAAUGGGUAAUCCACUUCAGAGGAUAGUUUUCUUAUGUUGGAUCAAUCAUCUACGGAGAACAACGUUUAAGGACACUUAACUGAUGCAAUUAAAGAUCCCGUAUGGUUUUGAAAGGGAAAUAUUUCACGUGUCACAAUAACACACAAGUUGGUGAGCAACUACGGGCAGUUAAUGGACACGCAGCAGCAGUUAGAUUGGAUAAUCAAGGGUUUUUGAGCUAUGGAAACCUCUGCAUGUGUCAGCUCCUUAUGACUUAAAACAUCCAUAUCAUGGAUUUUCAACCUUGGAAAUUUCUUAAUGUGCAGGAACACAUCGUAGAUUAACAUCCAAUGGAACCAUGCUUUAUCUUUCAAGGUACUUGCAAAUUCUGAAUUGGCAGCUCAUUCAACUUUCCGCCAUUUUUUGUGCGACAGUUUAUGUUUAUUAGGUUGGUCUCCACUGAUUGUAAGAGCAUGAUCCUUUUACAUACGUUCAUAAAUCCUAUAUUAGAAACUUAUAAUGGUGUAAUCAAUAUUUGGGUAUAUUUUUUGGGUGUUUUUAAGCGUGUGUAAACUGAAUUCAUAUAUGUAUUGAACUAGUUGUAUUUUGUACAUUGAAUUUGUAAGGUUGGUUGGAUGGUGAAAUAUUUCUCUAA